Pogonomyrmex barbatus (red harvester ant) is the source of this 926-nucleotide long non-coding RNA. The record is from RefSeq and is a predicted model, not a curated record. NCBI's taxonomy places the organism in Eukaryota, Metazoa, Arthropoda, Insecta, Hymenoptera, Formicidae.
CAAAUAAUUUAAAUAAAAAUCUACAUGAAAAGAGUAUCCAACGACAUAUGUCGAGCGUCAAUUAAUUUUGGAUCAUCGUGUCAGCGCAAUCUUAUGUGAGGCAGCAGGGUCGACGACACGUUUUACGGCUUGAAUACCAGCCACAAUGGUCCCGUUGUGGAAAUCGAUCGCCUCGUUGUUCGUACAGACAUGGAAAGAGAUAGGGGUGAGGCGAGGCAGGAGCGUUAAAGGCAAAUCAGGGGCUUCGUAGAUGAUCACUAUAGAUGGGAUGAAAUAUUAAGCACAGCGCGGGAGGCAUAACGCCGAGGAGAGCAGAGUAACGGCUGCGUGGCCGAGGCUGUAGAAGUUUUAUUAAAAAUCUGCGUUGAAGGAUGAUGGAUAUCUCCGAAGGAGAGUGGCGAGGAGAGGCCUCGGCCUUAUGCUCGGACGGCCGGUAAGAAAGUAGGAGGAAGAAAAAGCAGAUGAAGUAGACGACGAAAGCCGUUAAGGACAGAAACAGAUGAAACUGUACGGAUCUCGCACGGUUGAUGAAGCAAAAGGGAGUAUUAUUAUGAUUUACGAGAGAAAGGAUUAAAGAUGAAAGCAAAAAAGAAGAUUACACGCUUGACGAUAGGCACAGGCUGAAAGAAACACAACCAAGAAGAUUUUAGGACGAGAAAAGAGAAGAGGAAAAAGAGAAGAGGAAAAAGAAAGAGGAAAAAGAAGGAGGAAGCCGUUAGAGGAGCGACGUGACCAAAACUAUAGCAGGAUGAAAGAAGAUCGGAAAAAGAGGUCCCUUCAAUAUAAUAAAAUAUAAUAAAAGAGACAUUACAGGAUUGUGGCUUAUUUGGUCUAGAAAAUUUAAGAGACUGAAAGCAUUUUAAGAUUGGAUGAAAGACAAGCGUCCUGGUAGCCAUAGAUCGCGUCACGUCCAAAAUAUGAUGGAA